UACGAAGGGGGCUAGCGUUGUUCGGAUUUACUGGGCGUAAAGCGCACGUAGGCGGAUCGUUAAGUCGGGGGUGAAAUCCUGGAGCUCAACUCCAGAACUGCCUUCGAUACUGGCGAUCUUGAGUCCGGAAGAGGUGAGUGGAACUCCUAGUGUAGAGGUGGAAUUCGUAGAUAUUCGCAAGAACACCAGUGGCGAAGGCGGCUCACUGGCCCGGUACUGACGCUGAGGCACGAAAGCGUGGGGAGCGAACAGG
RNAcentral lists this ribosomal RNA (253 nucleotides) under uncultured bacterium. RNAcentral describes it as "partial 16S ribosomal RNA". It matches the Rfam family "Bacterial small subunit ribosomal RNA", at positions 524 to 776 of the family's 1533-position model. The record is from RNAcentral.